UGGGGAAUAUUGGACAAUGGGCGAAAGCCUGAUCCAGCCAUGCCGCGUGUGUGAAGAAGGUCUUCGGAUUGUAAAGCACUUUAAGUUGGGAGGAAGGGCAGUAAGCGAAUACCUUGCUGUUUUGACGUUACCGACAGAAUAAGCACCGGCCAACUCUGUGCCAGCAGCCGCGGUAAUACAGAGGGUGCAAGCGUAAAUCGGAAUCACUGGGCGUAAAGCGCGCGUAGGUGGUUCGUUAAGUUGAAUGUGAAAGCCCCGGGCUCAACCAGGGAACUGCAUCCAAAACUGGCGAGCUAGGGUAGGGCAGAAGGUGGUGGAAUUUCCUUUGUAGCGGUGAAAAGCGUAGUUGUAGGUAGGAUCACCAGUGGCGAAGGCGACCACCUGGGCUCAUACUGACACUGAGGUGCGAAAGCGUGAGGGGCAAACAGG
This 429-nucleotide ribosomal RNA is filed under the name Pseudomonadota bacterium. Its description in RNAcentral is "Proteobacteria bacterium partial 16S ribosomal RNA". It matches the Rfam family "Bacterial small subunit ribosomal RNA", at positions 355 to 776 of the family's 1533-position model. Lineage: Bacteria; Pseudomonadati; Pseudomonadota. The record is from RNAcentral.